CAACCUGGUUGAUCCUGCCAGUUAGUCAUACGCUUGUCUCAAAGAUUAAGCCAUGCAUGUCUAAGUAUAAGCAUUUAUACAGCGAAACUGCGAAUGGCUCAUUAAAACAGUUAUCGUUUAUUUGAUAGUUCAUACUACUUGGAUAACCGUAGAAAUUCUAGGGCUAAUACAUGCGCGAAUUCCUGACCGUUUA
This 193-nucleotide ribosomal RNA is filed under the name uncultured eukaryote. Its description in RNAcentral is "partial 18S ribosomal RNA". It matches the Rfam family "Eukaryotic small subunit ribosomal RNA", at positions 1 to 193 of the family's 1831-position model. The record is from RNAcentral.